AGGCCCGUAACGUGUAACCUACACUAGAUUCUCUGUAUAUAUCUCUCUAUAUACUGUGAUCCUUCUUUUUUUUUGCUUCGUACAUUGCGAGUGUGUGUAUGUGUGCGUGCUUGUGGUGCUGGAAGGCCUUUACUUAGAUUGGCGCCUGCCACCCUCCCACCCACCCACCUCACCCCGCCUUUUUGGCAUCUUUCAUCUCCCCCUCCCCGCCUCUCGGCGUCUCCGCUGUCUUCCUUCCUCUUUCUCUCUUUGGCCUUCGGUGCUCGAGCACGUGCGCCUGCGUGACCGAGUGCGUCUGUGUGUGCGCUGCCGGUCUCCUCUGUGGUAUUUGGUACCUACACACGCACCAGCGCAUCAUCUACAAGUGAGCUGCAGCGGUAACCACACGAGAAGACAAGCGGCUGGGCAAGCGGGAGCGUGAACGGAACUAAACGAGUGCGAGGAAGAAGUGACAAGAGAGCAGCGGAGAUCACGACAACCGCCACCCUGUUGUUCGCCUCCACACACACAAAUACACACACACCGCCCCUCACGUCUCCUCGUCCCACCCGCCGACGCACACGCUCUUCUCUUGCGCUCCUAGAGACUCGCUUCUCUUUCUCUCUAUCCACAACUGUCGUUGUGUCGUUUUUUUUUUUUCGCACUUCCGUCCUGCCACACGGCUGCACCACCCACCAACCACCACACACCACCCGUGUGUUGUUUGGUGUUACUUGUUUCUACACGCACGCCAUUCAUAGAGCACAUCUCCGUAACUUCUCCUGUACACAUCUUUCUUUCCUUUGCUUCUUCUUUGGUUCUCCGAUACAUUGCGGUCUACCAUCCUCGGCGCGACCUCUCCUGGUCCUCACCUUCCGCGCCAACCCUUCGCAUCCCUCUCACUCAGAUCGUCGUCUCUGUCGGUUGCGCGGUGGUAUUCCGUUGCAUCUUCCUGUUCUUGUUUCCCUUACUUUGACUCAUUUUUCCGCUCUCCUGGUGUCUCGCUCCAGUGUUGGUCGUUGUACAUUUUUCAUAGUACCACACACACACACGCACGCACACACACACACGCACACCUCUCCCCACUCUCUCCCAGGCGUGUCAAGCUCUUCCUUCUGUUUGUAAACAGGCGCCCUUCCUUGUGUUUUGUUUUCCUUCCUUCUUUCCGAACUCCCCGCACACCUUCAUAGAUCUUGAUUCUCCUCCUCCCUCCCCCCUCCCCUCUCUCUUUCUCGCACACGCACAACCGCACGCGCGCACCCAGUCCGCACCUUGCCACACCGCCCAUCAUCCCGUUGCUUCCUUCGAAACAAGCGUGUGUGUGGGCGCGCUCUCCUCUCUUCUUUUCGCUGUUCUCCUUUUGUUUCGGUUUCUUCCGCAUCUCCUCUGUCCUCUCCGUCUCACGCGGAUCGCACAGACGCUCAGGCCUCUCUCGGCCCUCCUCCUACUCUCGUCUCGUGUGCUCGCUGUUCGUGGUGUGCUUUCCAUUUUGUUCCGGUGUUUUGGCCGCUCGCCCAGCCCCACUCACCCCUCCUCGCUGACCGUGUGUAGGGGCACAUCACGAACGGAUUCUUGCUGGCGCUGCUCUCGCUCGCCUCCACAAUAAAUGUUUCGUUACUUUACGUCGUCCUCCUCUGCGGCGCGGCAGAAAGCCGUGCAGCUCGCCGUCUGCGCCCAUCUUCGCACCAGUGCUGCGGUUCUGCACUCAGCCGCCGCCCACGCGUGCGCAUCGUCAACGAUCCGCGGCUCUGCUGCCGCGGUGCCGCGCAGUGCGUUGGUGAGCGCUCAGCUCACCAGCAUGCGGUGGCAGUCCUCCCCCUCCUCCACGCCGCCAAAGCCGGAGGGUGGCAAGAGGCGUGGACGACCACCGGGCCGCAAGACACGCCGGUCCACUUCCGCAACAGCAGCCGCCGACACAAGGAUGGCGGUGAGCGAUGUCUCCCGCACAGAAACAGACGCCGCUCUGGAUCAAGCAGUGGCCUCCGUGGCGCAGAAGAUCUUCGCGGGCUCUGCCGAACCAAUGCCAGCAGCACCAGCACCUUUUCCAGAAACUAGCGCCUUGAACAUGCCUGACGCAACCCCCCUCACGGCACAGGUUACCAAGCUCGUGGAACCGCCGACGGCUGCUGCCGUCGACGCUUCCGUGGAGACUUCCAGGCAUGCCGGUGCCACCGCGACACCGGCGAGCUCGUCCGCUCCAUCGGUCGGCAAAGCAGCUUGGGAAGAAGAGCGGCCGAAGACCAACGUAGCAGCUACGCCGGAUGUGAUGGCGAAGCCGAAGAGGUCAGCAGGCCGACGACGCACGCAGCGGGAGACGGCUACACCAACACCAGCAGUCGUCACAGCCGCUGAGGCGUCGGUGGCGCCAGCGAACCCCGCCGCCGACGCGUUCCGCGAGAGCCUUGACGAGGAGUCCUUCUUCUCGUCACUCCUCCAACCAGGCAAAGGCGACUCCAGCAUUGCAGAGCCGAGGGAGUCGACUCUCGUGUACAACGCUCUCACCGGUCGCAUGACGAGCGAGACGUCGGUGACGAUGCAAUGCCUGCGCGAACUCGGCUUUGGCGUCAACGACCAGCGCCAGGUGAUCAUGAAGCAUCCAGAAGUGCUGAACGCGCUUGCCGAGCGGGUACGCGCCGGAACGUCGGCGCUGCCGACGAAGUGGCCCGUCACUGUCGCCCGCGUCAUCAGUGCGGUGGUUAUGAACAGUAACAUAAGCGAUCCGGCGAAGGCGCUCGAGCAGAUGAUCCAGGUGAAGACAAACAGCGUCAUGCGCAGCCGCUACACCUCCGUUGUGUCCGCGGUGAACAGCGACCUGGACGCCGCCAUGGCGGAGACGACGGCGGCGGAGCAAGCAGGCAUGAAGGGCGGGCACGAUCCGGAUCAGGCGAUCGAGCUCAACGACGAGCAGAAGCGCGUCAUCGAUAUCGCCCUGCGAGGGCACCACUUGUACAUCGGCGGCAGCGCCGGCACCGGCAAGACAGUGCUUCUGCGUGCCGUGGCGCGUCGCCUGCAAGGCCACCGCCUACGCGUUGCGAUGACCGCCACUACGGGCGUAGCUGGGUGCCACAUUGGCGGCUCGACCUUCCACCAUGCCCUCGGCGUCACCUCCCGUGGCGAGUUCAUGCGACGCAGCAUCAUCCUCGACUACGACGUCAUCAUCAUUGAUGAGGUGUCCAUGUUCCCGCAAAGCCUCUUUGAGGAAUUUGACCGCGUUCUGCGCGAGGAGGCCGGCACGCCUGAUCUGCCGUUCGGCGGAGUGCAGAUCAUCCUGUGCGGUGACUUCCUCCAGCUCGGCUGCAUCAACGAAAAAUCGCUCAUUGGCUCACCAGUUUUCCACAAGAACUUUGUGAAGAUCCGUCUCGAGACGCAGGUGCGGCAGACCGCCAACUCCCAGUUCGCGAACGACCUGCAGCUCAUGCGUCUGGGUAUCGUGCCGAGCGAUCUCCAGACGACGGUGCAGCUACUGCCGCCGGGAACCAUGGUCGACUCCGCCGUGAAUCUGCUGCCGACGAACAAGGAGGUGCAUGCAGCCAACGAGCGACAGCUCCAGGAGCUGCCAGGGGACCCGCUGACGCUCACGCCAGAGACCGGCAUCACUUCCCUCCAGUGCGAAACGACGGCGACGCUGCUGCUGCGCACGACGCCGGAUUUCAACGAGGCCGAGUUUGCCCGCCACACCCGCUCUCUACUGCAGGCCACCCUUGACCUGCCCCGCGCCUCCCUCCUCUCGCUCUACCGUGUGUACGAAGACGGUCACGUGAUGCGCGUCAUGCUGCCACCUGGCGAGUCCGUCGCGUGGCGCGACGCGAUGCGGGAGCGAUUCCUCGAGAUUGCUGGUCUGCUGAACGACCUGGAGCUUGGAGCCACGGUGACGGAGAUCAUCCCGAACGGAGACGGCCUGCACACGCCUGAGACAGAAGACUACCUGCACAAGGUUAUGUCGAAGCACCCGAUCGCGCAGCCGCUGACACUCAAGAAGGGUUGCCGCGUUCUUCUGCGUUCGAACCUCUCGAACAGCCUCGUAAACGGCAGCAUCGGCACCGUCGUAGACUUUGUGGAGUGCAAGGAGGAGUCCUUUCCCGAGUACAUCAAGACUGAGUCUGUGAGGCGCUGCAUCGACCGCUAUCGCGUGUUCUGCUUCACCGAGUGCGGCAUGCCAGUGCCAAUGGUGCCCGUCGUCCAGUUCUACAGCGGCGAGAAAAUCGCGGUGCCACCGUGGGAGUUCUCCGUUGGUGGUGGGCCAAACACGCACUUCUACAGCCUUUCGAGCGUCGCCCUGCCGCUCUCCUUAGCCUACGCCUUCACGGUGCACAAGGUGCAGGGGCUCACCCUGGUGGGUCGCGUGCACCUGGAGCUGUCCCGCAUGUGGCCGUGUGAGCAUCUGCUGUACGUUGCCAUGAGCCGCGUGCGCAACCCGGAGCAGCUGUCCAUGUCGAGCUUUACGGCAAGUAUGGUAGUGGCGAACGAAACGUGCGUCCACUUCGACAAGGCGCUGCGUGGGGCGCUACAGUUGACCGUCGCUGACAUCGCCAAGUACCCUAUCUCGGCAUGGAAGCGAUGCAACGACACCAUUUACCACCUUCGUUGCCGUGGCGCCUCGCUGCGUCGCCUGUUGGAGGGGGUGACGUCUAUGAGCGGCAGCAUAUCUCCGCUGAUGGUGUCGGGGAGCGGCAGCCCGCAGGCACACGGCAGUGCUCUCGACCGCUCUGGGGGAAGCUUCGCGUCUCGUAGUAGAAGCGACGGUGAGGACGACCAUGAGGCGCUCUCAGCUCACGAGAUGACGAGCACAAGCGACGGUAGUCGAGUGAUGGUGCGUGUAGGCAGGCACGGUAGCGGCGGUACCGGCAUGGUGGGGGAGGUCGACACUGAUGACCUGGCUUUCAACCUAGAACACCUUAGCGCCAUCCAGCAGUCGGUCCUCGUAGCGCGUCGCAUGCGUAAACUGGUGCGGCAUGUUGAGCGGGUAGCGAAGCUGACUGACGCGCGACACCGCACCAAGAGCAACGGGAAGAAUAGCAAGGGGCCAGCGGCUCCGAAAGGCUCUGCGCACGCAGCGUCAGCUGCAGCAGCGGUCGUGAGUGGCAGCAUUGAUGCGUCGAGUAGGCGAGACGGAGCGGAGGCGGAGGAGAUGGACGGUGACGAGUCUUGCGACGUUGAGCGUGCCGCCAGCGUCAUGGCAGCCUCCGUAGCAGCCGCGGCAGCGGCGUCGCCCGCCGUCUCGCUUGCCAUGGGCGAAGAGCACACGUUUUAGGCCUCCCUUUAUCUUUAUGGAUGACGACGGUGGCGCCUGCCGGGAAAGAGUCGGAAGUGGGGUGCGGAGGGUCAGUCGGCUCACGUGUUCUCCCCCGCCCCUCCCUCCACAACAUCCCCCAUUGCUCUCUCUCUCUCUCGAGGUGUGCGCGUGUAUUUGGGCUGUUGAUACCAUGGCAGGUGGUGGUGCUCCGCUGUGCUGCACCUGCGCAUGUGUAGUCGUGUAUGCGUGUGCGACCACGGUUUGGCGUUGUUUCUUUUCGGUAUUCUCUAUGUAUACAUGUGUAGUUGUUCUCUCUUCAUAGAUGCACGUCCACACACACACACACGCACACAGGGAGAGGCAGAGAGAUAAGGUCGCGACAACCAGGGCGUACGCAUGAUAGUCGCGACCACUGUUCUGCUUAUAUAUAUAUAUAUAUAUGUGUGUGUGUGUGUGUGCGUGCGUGCAUGUGUGUACUUUCUGGCGGCAAUCCAAUAUAGACGCACGGGUCCGAUGGCUGGGCAUCACGCAGAAGUGGAGCGGGCGAAAGAUGCACAGCAACCGCACGUGUGGUGAGCCCGAGACGAGGGAAAACAGUGACGACGCAGCGAUGCGCCAUGCAGGCGCAUGCGGUAACGGCAGCGUAGACAAUGUGCAUUCCUCUGUUUAUGCCUCCCUCCUUCUCCUUCGAUCUGUUUAUCCCCUGAAUCGACCCUCUUUGUUUUUUUUUCCGCGUGUCGUGUAGGUUGCGUGUUAUUCGUGCGUGUGUCUCUGUGAGCCCUUUUUGUUGUGGCGGGUGCUGCUUUAUCGCCUGGUCGCUCCCGUGCAUCCCCCCUUCUGUAUCUGUCUUUGCUGCGUAUGCAGUUAGAUGUCGCUGAGGUGUGACGACUCCGCCCCUCACCCCUUCCUCCCUCACAGUACAGCAAAGAGGGGGGAAAGAAACGAAUGCCCUUCUCUUCCGUCGCCCGCCUUCUCGCUCGCGCUCUUUGCAUGGUGUGUGCGCGCACACGCGAACACGCGCACAUGCGUAUAUACAUGUACAGAUGCGUAUGGUGCUGAUGCGCUGCCGGCGUGUGCGUGUGUGUGUGUGUGUGUGUGUUUAGUUCUCUCGUUCAUCUGUUUGCCGUGAUGCCUCCGCCCUCCCUCCCCCUCCCCACCCGUUGUAUUUCUGUGCAAUGCGCACGCCCUUGUGUGUACGUGCGUGCAUCUUCUGGUGGUUUGCCCUCCCCCUGUCUCCUCUUCGUCCCUUGGUGGCGGGGAGCUGUCUGUGACGCAAACGCAGGACAGGCCGAACGUGUGGGGGCGUGCAGCCCUGGAUCGCAAG
This 6536-nucleotide unclassified non-coding RNA is filed under the name Leishmania donovani. Its description in RNAcentral is "gene:LdHU3.11.0420(CDS-product:PIF1_helicase-like _protein_putative)". Lineage: Eukaryota; Euglenozoa; Kinetoplastea; Trypanosomatida; Trypanosomatidae. The record is from RNAcentral.